Long non-coding RNA from Carassius auratus (goldfish), 500 nucleotides. RefSeq lists it as uncharacterized. Lineage: Eukaryota; Metazoa; Chordata; Actinopteri; Cypriniformes; Cyprinidae. The transcript is spliced from 3 exons. The record is from RefSeq and is a predicted model, not a curated record.
UGUGUGUGUUCACUGCUGUGCGUGUGCACUUUGGAUGGGUUAAAUGCAGAGCAUGAAUUCUGAGUAUUGGUCACCAUACUUGGCUGAAUGUCAUGUCACUUUCACUUUCAUCAUUGAAGCCUCUGAAUGUAGGUACAGAGACAUUUGGAAAAAGACAGUGACGUCGCAGGUUGUCAAGGUGCCGCACUGGGCGAUGGCUUGGGGCGACGUGUGCGCAGGGGCGCUGGACUGGGGGUAAAACCAGUACUGAUUACCAGGGCCCCAAAGGAAGAGAGGGCCCUUGAAAAGUCUGGAAUAUAUAUUUUCAAAGGGGGGUUCUAUCUUGUGCAGCAUCCCUGCAUGUGUGACGUGGAAUUUGUUUAAACAAGGAUUUACAGUCCCAGUCUGAAUCUAGAACACCUGAGAAGAGAUGGUGCUGACCCCUCAGAGGACCUCAGAUGAUGCUAACCCUGAAACAACACACAGAACUAACAAAUAUUGCUACAAGUGUGAUUGCAUCA